Molecule: ribosomal RNA, 687 nt
Filed under: Microbacterium sp. 49Pb1c
Lineage: Bacteria; Bacillati; Actinomycetota; Actinomycetes; Micrococcales; Microbacteriaceae
Description: bacterial SSU rRNA
Rfam family: Bacterial small subunit ribosomal RNA
Source: RNAcentral
GAGUAACACGUGAGCAACCUGCCCCUGACUCUGGGAUAAGCGCUGGAAACGGCGUCUAAUACUGGAUACGAGACGUGAUCGCAUGGUCGACGUCUGGAAAGAUUUUUUGGUUGGGGAUGGGCUCGCGGCCUAUCAGCUUGUUGGUGAGGUAAUGGCUCACCAAGGCGUCGACGGGUAGCCGGCCUGAGAGGGUGACCGGCCACACUGGGACUGAGACACGGCCCAGACUCCUACGGGAGGCAGCAGUGGGGAAUAUUGCACAAUGGGCGCAAGCCUGAUGCAGCAACGCCGCGUGAGGGAUGACGGCCUUCGGGUUGUAAACCUCUUUUAGCAAGGAAGAAGCGAAAGUGACGGUACUUGCAGAAAAAGCGCCGGCUAACUACGUGCCAGCAGCCGCGGUAAUACGUAGGGCGCAAGCGUUAUCCGGAAUUAUUGGGCGUAAAGAGCUCGUAGGCGGUUUGUCGCGUCUGCUGUGAAAUCCCGAGGCUCAACCUCGGGUCUGCAGUGGGUACGGGCAGACUAGAGUGCGGUAGGGGAGAUUGGAAUUCCUGGUGUAGCGGUGGAAUGCGCAGAUAUCAGGAGGAACACCGAUGGCGAAGGCAGAUCUCUGGGCCGUAACUGACGCUGAGGAGCGAAAGGGUGGGGAGCAAACAGGCUUAGAUACCCUGGUAGUCCACCCCGUAAACG